GACGAACGCUGGCGGCGUGCCUAAUACAUGCAAGUUGAGCGCUGAAGGUUGGUACUUGUACCAACUGGAUGAGCAGCGAACGGGUGAGUAACGCGUGGGUAAUCUGCCUUUGAGCGGGGGACAACAUUUGGAAACGAAUGCUAAUACCGCAUAAAAACUUUAAACACAAGUUUUAAGUUUGAAAGAUGCAAUUGCAUCACUCAAAGAUGAUCCCGCGUUGUAUUAGCUAGUUGGUGAGGUAAAGGCUCACCAAGGCGAUGAUACAUAGCCGACCUGAGAGGGUGAUCGGCCACAUUGGGAAGGAGACACGGCCCAAACGCCUACGGGAGGCAGCAGUAGGGAAUCUUCGGCAAUGGACGAAAGUCUGACCGAGCAACGCCGCGGGAGUGAAGAAGGUUUUCGGAUCGUAAAACUCUGUUGGUAGAGAAGAACGUUGGUGAGAGUGGAAAGCUCAUCAAGUGACGGUAACUACCCAGAAAGGGACGGCUAACUACGUG
RNAcentral lists this ribosomal RNA (497 nucleotides) under uncultured bacterium. Its description in RNAcentral is "partial 16S ribosomal RNA". It matches the Rfam family "Bacterial small subunit ribosomal RNA", at positions 28 to 507 of the family's 1533-position model. The record is from RNAcentral.